GACGAACGCUGGCGGCGUGCUUAACACAUGCAAGUCGAACGAUGAAGCCCANGCUUGCUGGGUGGAUUAGUGGCGAACGGGUGAGUAACACGUGAGUAACCUGCCCUUGACUCUGGGAUAAGCGUUGGAAACGACGUCUAAUACCGGAUACGAGCUUCCACCGCAUGGUGAGUUGCUGGAAAGAAUUUUGGUCAAGGAUGGACUCGCGGCCUAUCAGCUUGUUGGUGAGGUAACGGCUCACCAAGGCGACGACGGGUAGCCGGCCUGAGAGGGUGACCGGCCACACUGGGACUGAGACACGGCCCAGACUCCUACAGGAGGCAGCAGUGGGGAAUGUUGCACAAUGGGCGAAAGCCUGAUGCAGCAACGCCGCGUGAGGGACGACGGCCUUCGGGUUGUAAACCUCUUUUAGCAGGGAAGAAGCGAAAGUGACGGUACCUGCAGAAAAAGCACCGGCUAACUACGUGCCAGCAGCCGCGGUAAUACGUAGGGUGCAAGCGUUGUCCGGAAUUAUUGGGCGUAAAGAGCUCGUAGGCGGUUUGUCGCGUCUGCUGUGAAAUCCCGAGGCUCAACCUCGGGUCUGCAGUGGGUACGGGCAGACUAGAGUGCGGUAGGGGAGAUUGGAAUUCCUGGUGUAGCGGUGGAAUGCGCAGAUAUCAGGAGGAACACCGAUGGCGAAGGCAGAUCUCUGGGCCGCUACUGACGCUGAGGAGCGAAAGGGUGGGGAGCAAACAGGCUUAGAUACCCUGGUAGUCCACCCCGUAAACGUUGGGCGCUAGAUGUGGGGACCAUUCCACGGUUUCCGUGUCGUAGCUAACGCAUUAAGCGCCCCGCCUGGGGAGUACGGCCGCAAGGCUAAAACUCAAAGGAAUUGACGGGGGCCCGCACAAGCGGCGGAGCAUGCGGAUUAAUUCGAUGCAACGCGAAGAACCUUACCAAGGCUUGACAUAUACGAGAACGGGCCAGAAAUGGUCAACUCUUUGGACACUCGUAAACAGGUGGUGCAUGGUUGUCGUCAGCUCGUGUCGUGAGAUGUUGGGUUAAGUCCCGCAACGAGCGCAACCCUCGUUCUAUGUUGCCAGCACGUCAUGGUGGGAACUCAUGGGAUACUGCCGGGGUCAACUCGGAGGAAGGUGGGGACGACGCCAAAUCAUCAUGCCCCUUAUGUCUUGGGCUUCACGCAUGCUACAAUGGCCAGUACAAAGGGCUGCAAUACCGUAAGGUGGAGCGAAUCCCAAAAAGCUGGUCCCAGUUCGGAUUGAGGUCUGCAACUCGACCUCAUGAAGUCGGAGUCGCUAGUAAUCGCAGAUCAGCAACGCUGCGGUGAAUACGUUCCCGGGCCU
RNAcentral lists this ribosomal RNA (1343 nucleotides) under uncultured bacterium. Its description in RNAcentral is "bacterial SSU rRNA". It matches the Rfam family "Bacterial small subunit ribosomal RNA", at positions 28 to 1381 of the family's 1533-position model. The record is from RNAcentral.